This is a non-coding RNA of Leptonychotes weddellii (Weddell seal), 1612 nucleotides long. NCBI's taxonomy places the organism in Eukaryota, Metazoa, Chordata, Mammalia, Carnivora, Phocidae. The record is from RefSeq and is a predicted model, not a curated record.
GGACACAGUGAGGCCAGCCUGUGAGUCCGGGGCGCGCAUCCUGAGGCAGACCCCCCAACCCUGUCUCAGGUGUCCGUGGCCGACCUCUGCUUAGUGCCUCAGGUGGCAAAUGCUGAAAGGUUCAAGGUGGAUCUCACUCCCUACCCUACCAUCAGCCGCAUCAACAAGACGCUGCUGGCCUUGGAGGCUUUCCAAGUGUCUCACCCCUGCCGGCAGCCAGACACACCGCCUGAGCUGCGGGCCUAGCUCCCCAGCUGUGCCCCAUGGGUGAGGGGGCAGGGAGAGGGUGCAGGAGCAGAAGCUGGGGGGAGGGGGUGCUGAACAGGCCUGGCAACAAGCAAGCCCUACUGGAGAAGCAGGAGACCUGAACUUCUUGAACUUGGACUCAAGCCCUGGAUCCGCCCUCCCACUGAAAAUCCUUGUGCCUCAGUCCCCUCAUCUGUCCAGUGCGGGUAGUGUGGGGGAGAGGAUGCUGGGAGGGAGGGAGGCAGGAACAUCACCGGUCAUCUAUGUCGUGGGGCAGUCGUGAAGAUGAGGUGAGAAUGUAGCCUAAAACACUUGGUGGUUUCGGCAAGGAGACGUAAGGGAGCCUGCGCGCUCUUCCCAUGCCCACAGCUGUACCUGACUCCAGAGAAGGCCCACACUGAAAUUUGAUCAUUAAACUGAAGCCCAGGCCUCGAGGUUGUUCAGUUAAGGCUGAGCCGCGUUCCAGAAGAUGAACACUCUUCCUAGCUGGAAUCCCCCUGCAUCUGGGCCAGGAGAGAAAAACGUCUGAAAGCCUGCCAGAGAGAAGCAGACCAGAUCCAGAAGAGAAUAGAUAGAAACGGCAGGAAAGAAGGCAUUUUGUGACCAGCUGAGUUUCCAGGGCUAGAAGGGUACCAGGAAGUGGCCCACUGGAGCACGGAGGGGGAAGCUGGCCCUCUCAAGCCAGAACAGUCCUAGGAGUAGGCACUUGGAAUAAAUCCAGUCAUGAAGGGCCCUGGGAACUGGAGGCAGGCUCCUCCAUGGGCAGCAUGACCCGCCACUGCCCAGGCUGGUUCCGGACCCCACACAGCUAGCAGCUUGCCUUGAGAUCCCUUCUGGGGGUGGAACAAGAUGACUUUUAUGUCCUGUACCUGAGAUUUCAUUUCCCCUGCAUGGCUAAGGCUUCAACAGUGAGUUCAGGUAGAUGUGUCUGGUUCACAUGGAAGCCACCACUCUCAGCGGACAUGAGUCCCUUUUCUUCAGCCCCGACCCCAGGGCACCUAGUUCUCCCAUCCUUCCGGGCUCCUUUGUGGCCUUUCCUUCUUGAACUUGGGUUCCAGGCUUUAGAAUGACCAAAAUGGGCCACUCUUGUUCCUGAGACACACUGGUCCUGGCAGAGCCAGAAAAAAGCACAGGGCAUUCCGUGAGACACAGCAGUGUUGAGGGAGACUCGGUGGUUCCUCCUGCCCUGCCUCCAUCUUUCCGUCCGCUUACUCCAGGCUUGCCCGGCUGGGUAAAACUUGCCCCUGGGCUCUCUCCAGGAAACCUUGACUCAAGAGACUGAUCUCCUCAGCCCAGGGAUCAGGACUCGCACCUGAUUUGGACAUUUGGAGUUGAAGGUGAUUAAAGUCCCUGUAGAUUUUAAAGA